Molecule: ribosomal RNA, 279 nt
Filed under: uncultured Staphylococcus sp.
Lineage: Bacteria; Bacillati; Bacillota; Bacilli; Caryophanales; Staphylococcaceae
Description: partial 16S ribosomal RNA
Rfam family: Bacterial small subunit ribosomal RNA
Source: RNAcentral
GUGCCAGCAGCCGCGGUAAUACGUAGGUGGCAAGCGUUAUCCGGAAUUAUUGGGCGUAAAGCGCGCGUAGGCGGUUUUUUAAGUCUGAUGUGAGAGCCCACGGCUCAACCGUGGAGGGUCAUUGGAAACUGGAAAACUUGAGUGCAGAAGAGGAAAGUGGAAUUCCAUGUGUAGCGGUGAAAUGCGCAGAGAUAUGGAGGAACACCAGUGGCGAAGGCGACUUUCUGGUCUGUAACUGACGCUGAUGUGCGAAAGCGUGGGGAUCAAACAGGAUUAGAU